RNAcentral lists this ribosomal RNA (403 nucleotides) under uncultured bacterium. Its description in RNAcentral is "partial 16S ribosomal RNA". It matches the Rfam family "Bacterial small subunit ribosomal RNA", at positions 28 to 526 of the family's 1533-position model. The record is from RNAcentral.
GACGAACGCUGGCGGCGUGCCUAAUACAUGCAAGUCGAACGCAGUGGGGACGGGUGAGUAACACGUGGGUAACCUCCCAUCAGAGGGGAUAACACUUGGAAACAGGCGCUAAACCGAUAGUGAUGGAUGGACCCGCUGUGCAUUAGCUAGUUGGGGGGGUAACGGCUCACCAAGGCCACGAGCCAUAGCCGACCUGAGAGUGGUAUCGGCCACACUGGGACUGAGACACGGCCCAGACUCCUACGGGAGGCAGCAGUAGGGAAUCUUGGUCAAUGGGCGCAAGUCGGACCGAGCAACGCCGCGUGUGUGAAGAAGGUUUUCGGAUCGUAAAGCUCUGUUGGUAGGGAAGCGUUAUCUAACCAGAAAGCCACGGCUAACUACGUGCCAGCAGCCGCGGUAAUUC